This 232-nucleotide ribosomal RNA is filed under the name uncultured bacterium. Its description in RNAcentral is "partial 16S ribosomal RNA". It matches the Rfam family "Bacterial small subunit ribosomal RNA", at positions 99 to 334 of the family's 1533-position model. The record is from RNAcentral.
CGGACGGGUGAGUAAUGUCUGGGAAACUGCCCGAUGGAGGGGGGUAACUACUGGAAACGGUAGCUAAUACCGCAUAACGUCGCAAGACCAAAGAGGGGGGACUUAGGGCCUCUUGCCAUCGGAUGUGCCCAGAUGGGAUUAGCUAGUAGGUGGGGUAAUGGCUCACCUAGGCGACGAUCCCUAGCUGGUCUGAGAGGAUGACCAGCCACACUGGAACUGAGACACGGUCCAG